CACGUAGGGGGCAAGCGUUGUCCGGAUUUAUUGGGCGUAAAGAGCUCGUAGGCGGUCUGUCACGUCGGCUGUGAAAUCCCGAGGCUCAACCUCGGGUCUGCAGUCGAUACGGGCAAACUAGAGUAUUGCAGGGGAGACUGGAAUUCCUGGUGUAGCGGUGAAAUGCGCAGAUAUCAGGAGGAACACCGGUGGCGAAGGCGGGUCUCUGGGCAAUAACUGACGCUGAGGAGCGAAAGCGUGGGGAGCGAACAGG
RNAcentral lists this ribosomal RNA (253 nucleotides) under uncultured bacterium. RNAcentral's name for it is "partial 16S ribosomal RNA". It matches the Rfam family "Bacterial small subunit ribosomal RNA", at positions 524 to 776 of the family's 1533-position model. The record is from RNAcentral.